RNAcentral lists this ribosomal RNA (301 nucleotides) under uncultured bacterium. RNAcentral describes it as "partial 16S ribosomal RNA". It matches the Rfam family "Bacterial small subunit ribosomal RNA", at positions 509 to 807 of the family's 1533-position model. The record is from RNAcentral.
CAGUCGCCACGGUAAUACGAAGGGUGCAAGCGUUAAUCGGAAUUACUGGGCGUAAAGCGUGCGUAGGCGGUGAGUUAAGUCUGCUGUGAAAUCCCCGGGCUCAACCUGGGAAUAGCAGUGGAUACUGGCUCGCUAGAGUGUGUCAGAGGAUGGUGGAAUUCCCGGUGUAGCGGUGAAAUGCGUAGAGAUCGGGAGGAACAUCUGUGGCGAAGGCGGCCAUCUGGGACAACACUGACGCUGAGGCACGAAAGCGUGGGGAGCAAACAGGAUUAGAUACCCCAGUAGUCCCUGUCUCUUAUAC